Molecule: transfer RNA, 72 nt
Filed under: Camelus bactrianus (Bactrian camel)
Lineage: Eukaryota; Metazoa; Chordata; Mammalia; Artiodactyla; Camelidae
Also listed under: 1 other name
Rfam family: tRNA
About the family: Transfer RNA (tRNA) molecules are approximately 80 nucleotides in length. Their secondary structure includes four short double-helical elements and three loops (D, anti-codon, and T loops). Further hydrogen bonds mediate the characteristic L-shaped molecular structure. tRNAs have two regions of fundamental functional importance: the anti-codon, which is responsible for specific mRNA codon recognition, and the 3' end, to which the tRNAs corresponding amino acid is attached (by aminoacyl-tRNA synthetases). tRNAs cope with the degeneracy of the genetic code in two manners: having more than one tRNA (with a specific anti-codon) for a particular amino acid; and 'wobble' base-pairing, i.e. permitting non-standard base-pairing at the 3rd anti-codon position.
Source: Rfam by way of RNAcentral
UAGGGUACAGCUCAGUAGUGGAGUGCAUGCUUAGCAUGCAGGAGGUCCUGGAUUCAAUCCCCAGUACCUCAG